ACAGGUGCUGCAUGGCUGUCGUCAGCUCGUGUUGUGAAAUGUUGGGUUAAGUCCCGCAACGAGCGCAACCCUUAUCCUUUGUUGCCAGCGGUCCGGCCGGGAACUCAAAGGAGACUGCCAGUGAUAAACUGGAGGAAGGUGGGGAUGACGUCAAGUCAUCAUGGCCCUUACGACCAGGGCUACACACGUGCUACAAUGGCAUAUACAAAGAGAAGCGACCUCGCGAGAGCAAGCGGACCUCAUAAAGUAUGUCGUAGUCCGGAUUGGAGUCUGCAACUCGACUCCAUGAAGUCGGAAUCGCUAGUAAUCGUGGAUCAGAAUGCCACGGUGAAUACGUUCCCGGGCCUUGUACACACCGCCCGUCACACCAUGGGAGUGGGUUGCAAAAGAAGUAGGUAGCUUAACCUUCGGGAGGGCGCUUACCACUUUGUGAUUCAUGACUGGGGUGAAGUCGUAACAAGGUAACCGUAGGGGAACCUGC
This 481-nucleotide ribosomal RNA is filed under the name Citrobacter amalonaticus. RNAcentral describes it as "bacterial SSU rRNA". It matches the Rfam family "Bacterial small subunit ribosomal RNA", at positions 1034 to 1515 of the family's 1533-position model. The record is from RNAcentral. Lineage: Bacteria; Pseudomonadati; Pseudomonadota; Gammaproteobacteria; Enterobacterales; Enterobacteriaceae.